AUCAAUAAGCGGAGGAAAAGAAACUAACAAGGAUUCCCCUAGUAACGGCGAGCGAACCGGGAAGAGCUCAAAUUUGAAAUCUGGCGUCCCCCAGGGCGUCCGAGUUGUAAUCUACAGAAGCGUUUUCCGCGCCGGACCGCGUCCAAGUCCCUUGGAACAGGGUAUCAAAGAGGGUGACAAUCCCGUACUUGACGUGACCCCCGGUGCUGUGUGAUGCGUCUUCGACGAGUCGAGUUGUUUGGGAAUGCAGCUCAAAACGGGUGGUAAAUUCCAUCUAAGGCUAAAUAUUGGCGAGAGACCGAUAGCGAACAAGUACCGUGAGGGAAAGAUGAAAAGCACUUUGGAAAGAGAGUUAAACAGUACGUGAAAUUGUUGAAAGGGAAACGAUUGAAGUCAGUCGUGUCCGAGGGGUUCAGCCGGUCCUGCCGGUGCAUUCCUCUCGGACGGGUCAACAUCGGUUUUGACCGGCGGAAAAGGGCGCGAGGAAGGUGGCACCCUCGGGUGUGUUAUAGCCUCGUGUCGCACACGUCGGUCGAGACCGAGGAACGCAGCUCGCCCUCACGGGCCGGGGUUCGCCCACGUACGAGCUUAGGAUGUUGACAAAAUGGCUUCAAACGACCCGUCUUGAAACACGGACCAAGGAGUCUAACAUACCUGCGAGUGUUUGGGUGUCAAACCCGAGCGCGCAAUGAAAGUGAACGUAGGAGGGAUCCGCGAGGAGCACCUUCGACCGAUCCGGACCUUUUGAGAUGGAUUUGAGUAAGAGCAUGUAUGCUGGGACCCGAAAGAUGGUGAACUAUGCCUGAAUAGGGUGAAGCCAGGGGAAACUCUGGUGGAGGCUCGUANCGAUUCUGACGUGCAAAUCGAUCGUCAAAUUUGGGUAUAGGGGCGAAAGANUAAUCGAACCAUCUAAUGNCUGGU
This 921-nucleotide ribosomal RNA is filed under the name Tremella fibulifera. RNAcentral describes it as "partial large subunit ribosomal RNA". It matches the Rfam family "Eukaryotic large subunit ribosomal RNA", at positions 42 to 955 of the family's 3401-position model. Lineage: Eukaryota; Fungi; Basidiomycota; Tremellomycetes; Tremellales; Tremellaceae. The record is from RNAcentral.